This 2308-nucleotide long non-coding RNA is filed under the name Mus musculus (house mouse). RNAcentral describes it as "predicted gene, 38025". The record is from RNAcentral. Lineage: Eukaryota; Metazoa; Chordata; Mammalia; Rodentia; Muridae.
GGGAGGCAAGCCAGUAAAGAACAUCCCUCCAUGGCCUCUGCAUCAGCUCCUGCUUCCUGACCUGCUUGAGUUCCAGUCCUGGCUUCCUUGGUGAUGAACAGCAGUAUGGAAAUGUAAGCCGAAUAAACCCUUUCCUCCCCAACUUGCUUCUUGGUCAUGAUGUUUGUGCAGGAAUACAAACCCUGACUAAGACAAAUUGGUACCAGCAGAGUGGGGUAUUCCUGUGACAAUCUGACCAUGUUUUGGGGAGGACUGUGGAAGGACUUUGGAACUUUGGGCUUGAAGAUCCAUCCGUUGUUAAGAGCUCUGUCGGAUGUCAUGUAGGAGCUUGGAAGAUAAUGUUGAGAACACUGCAGAAGAUGGAGCUCUGGUUUGUGAAAUUUCAGAGGGAAAAUUAAAGACUCUUUUCAGGGCCAUUGCUGUUUUGUUUGUGAAGAUUCUGUAGUUCUGGUUAGCUGGGGCUGAAGAAUCAGCUGUGAUUAACAAGAUACCAGAACUACCAAGCAAAAACUUUGCAUUACUGGGACUAUUGAUGCUGGUUAGCUGGAGCUAAGAAAUUAGCGGUGAUUAAGAAGAGACCAGCAUCAUUGAGGUGACAUCUUCUGGGAAGUGUUUUCUGAAAGCACAAAGAGGCAGUGUUCCAGAGAUGGCCAAGGAUGUACUCCUGCUGCAGUGGGACUUGGUAAUAUGUAAGGGUCACCCAGGUGGUACUGGUUUUGAAGGCAUGAAGGGGUCACGCAAAGCAGCUGAGGUUCGGUACUGUGAGAGGCCAUGGAAGGCCAUUGGUGAAGGUGCAGCCUCAGUUGCAAUUGAAGGCCCAGGACUGAAGGGGUCAUGCAGUGUUUUGGAGAUGCCAGUACCAUGAGAUGACCACCAAGAGCAGCAGCAGCAGUGGGGUACAGGCAUCUGGAGCCUAGAGGACGAUGCGUGUGCUACAAAGGGCCUGGCUGGAGAAGUUACCCAAGCCCUUGGAGGAGCCCAGAAGAUCGUGAGUUGGAUCCCAGACAUUGGACGGUUGGAGAUUGACUUUUGCUUUUGAUUGUGACUGUGCCCUGAUAUUUUCCCUCUUGAAGGAAGAAACUGUUUUAGUGGAGCCCACAGUUAAGAGACUUUUAAUUGUAAAAAGACUUUGGAUUUUAAAAGAGAUGGAUAUUUUAAAGAGAUUGAAAUUUUAAGAAUAUGUAAAGGCUGUGGGACUUUUAAAGUUAUUUAGAUCUUGGGGAUGAAUAAGAUUGUAAGGGUUGAGGCUUACUAGUGAUGUUUUUGUGUGUCAAGUUGACAAGGGGUCAAUUGUACUGGCUAAUUUUGUGUCAACUUGACACAGCUGGAGUUAUCACAGAGAAAGGAGCUUCUGUUGAGGAAAUGCCUCCAUGAGAUCCAACUGUAAGGCAUUUUCUCAAUUAGUGAUCAAGGGGGAAAGGCCCCUUGUGGGUGAGACCAUCCCUGGCUGGUAGUCUUGGGUUUUAUAAGAGAGCAGGCUGAGCAAGCCAGGGGAGGCAAGCCAGUAAAGAACAUCCCUCCAUGGCCUCUGCAUCAGCUCCUGCUUCCUGACCUGCUUGAGUUCCAGUCCUGGCUUCCUUGGUGAUGAACAGCAGUAUGGAAAUGUAAAUUUGAACUCUAGGAGUGGCUCAGGGUAUGAAUGUACAGAGCCAAGACCAUGGGAAGACACAAAGAGAGGGUGACUAAGUGGAAGAAGUCCUUGGGAGAGUCCAGUCUGUAGCACACUGAUCUUUGUCACCUAUUCUUCAGUAUGAUAAGGUAAAUUUCUACUGCUUAACCUACCCAGUCUGCAGUGUUUUUGUUAUAACAGCCACAGCUAACUGAUACAGAUAAUAGCAUCUUAUACUUGUUUAAAUGCAUCUUUGCCCUCUUGUGCCUCAUGAAAUGUUCAGGGUGCAAUUUAUGCAGCAUUUAACACCUAUUAUAUCUAUCUUGUCUGAACUUGUAUUACCUUUUCAACUUGCUCAUUAAACACAUUUCAUGCAAUUUACUUCAUGAUACACUUCUAUUGAGUUUUUGGAACUUGCUGUCCAUCUCUAGUGAGCAUGACUUAACCAUUUGUUUGAACAGGUGAUGUAUGCUUGUGGUAAAUAUUUUAGACAGUAUGAAAGAUGAUAUGGCAAAACAUGUGGCUAACUCACCCCUUAGUUCCCUGUGCCCUAAGUUUUCUCCCCUAGAGGCAACUCUUACUAUCAGUGUACUCUUCGAAUUUCUAGGGAUCUAUAUCCUUGUUGAAAACACAUGUAUGUACAAUAUAUACAAACAAGAUAGACAUGUAGUAUAUAGUUAUGCAAAUCUAUGUUUUAUG